UACGAAGGGGGCUAGCGUUGCUCGGAAUGACUGGGCGUAAAGGGUUUGUAGGUGGUCUGUUAAGUCAGACGUGAAAUCCCUCAGCUUAACUGGGGAACUGCGUCUGAGACUGAUGGACUUGAGGGCAGGAGAGGAACGCGGAAUUCCAGGUGUAGCGGUGAAAUGCGUAGAUAUCUGGAGGAACACCGGUGGCGAAGGCGGCGUUCUGGACUGUUUCUGACACUGUAAAACGAAAGCCAGGGGAGCAAACGGG
This 253-nucleotide ribosomal RNA is filed under the name uncultured bacterium. RNAcentral describes it as "partial 16S ribosomal RNA". It matches the Rfam family "Bacterial small subunit ribosomal RNA", at positions 524 to 776 of the family's 1533-position model. The record is from RNAcentral.